Molecule: ribosomal RNA, 253 nt
Filed under: uncultured bacterium
Lineage: Bacteria
Description: partial 16S ribosomal RNA
Rfam family: Bacterial small subunit ribosomal RNA
Source: RNAcentral
CACGUAGGGCGCAAGCGUUGUCCGGAAUUAUUGGGCGUAAAGAGCUCGUAGGCGGUCUGUUGCGUCCGCUGUGAAAACUCGGGGCUUAACCCCGAGCCUGCAGUGGAUACGGGCAGACUAGAGGUAGGUAGGGGAGAAUGGAAUUCCCGGUGUAGCGGUGAAAUGCGCAGAUAUCGGGAGGAACACCGGUGGCGAAGGCGGCUUUCUGGACGACAACUGACGCUGAGACGCGAAAGCGUGGGGAGCAAACAGG